Molecule: ribosomal RNA, 387 nt
Filed under: uncultured bacterium
Lineage: Bacteria
Description: bacterial SSU rRNA
Rfam family: Bacterial small subunit ribosomal RNA
Source: RNAcentral
AUUGAACGCUGGCGGCAUGCUUUACACAUGCAAGUCGAACGGCAGCGCGGGGGCAACCCUGGCGGCGAGUGGCGAACGGGUGAGUAAUGCAUCGGAACGUAUCCUGUAAUGGGGGGAUAACGUAGCGAAAGUUACGCUAAUACCGCAUACGCUCGAGAGAGGAAAGUGGGGGAUCGCAAGACCUCACGUUAUAGGAGCGGCCGAUGUCCGAUUAGCUAGUUGGUGGGGUAAAGGCCUACCAAGGCGACGAUCGGUAGCUGGUCUGAGAGGAUGAUCAGCCACACUGGGACUGAGACACGGCCCAGACUCCUACGGGAGGCAGCAGUGGGGAAUUUUGGACAAUGGGCGAAAGCCUGAUCCAGCCAUGCCGCGUGCGGGAAGAAGGCC